CCUUUCGAGGUACGCUCAGAUCCAUGCAUGGCUGGAUUCCUCUGUUGGCCACAAGCAGUCUUUUACUAUUAUUCCUUGGGGAAAGAGCUUCAUCGGCACACCUAAGGCUUGGGGAGUGGAAGAACCUCAGGGUCACAAGCAUUCUUCCACUUGAUAUCGGCAAGCUUUAAUCCAAUUCCGCCUACUAUGCUCGUGUAUCCGGACUCGGAAAGUGCAAAAAACCAUCAUGCAAAUUCAGAGAUGGGUACCAGUUGUUCCCGUUGCCAAUCGAUCGUGGUUGGUACAGAUAAUAUUUUAACAUCAGCAAGCAAGAGGAUGAAUGGUUCACAUGGUAAAUUUUUACGACCAUUUUCAAAGUGGUUUUCUUCCUCAUUCCCGAUCUCCAUCUCCUAUUACCGAGAAGCAUUGAAGAAGCGCUAGAUCGUGGCAACGGUGCUUGUCCGGGAGGCGUAGAGGAUGUGUCAUCUUCUCGGUGUUCGUCGGUGGCGUGCGACAGUAGGCAUGUUCAUGGGAUCAUUGCGAUAUUGGUGUUCUCUACCGGAUCUACUGGAGAACAUCUUUCCCCCGUUUGAGCACUAUUCUGAUCGACCAAUCAUCCAAGGAAUACCCUCUACUAUUUUCCGCUGACCACCUGUUCGACGAAAUUCCAAGCCACUAACCAUCAUUUUUCCCCCAGUUAUUUCAUCAAACAGUAAGUGGUCUCUUAUGAAAUUGUUUUAAUUCAUUUGAUUGGUUUAUGUAUUCGUGUAACUGCUGCCGUUUGAAGUCCUUUCAAAAAAACUUUCAAGGUGAUUGUGAUUGCA
Non-coding RNA from Elaeis guineensis (African oil palm), 803 nucleotides. The record is from RefSeq and is a predicted model, not a curated record. NCBI's taxonomy places the organism in Eukaryota, Viridiplantae, Streptophyta, Magnoliopsida, Arecales, Arecaceae.